RNAcentral lists this long non-coding RNA (1450 nucleotides) under Setaria viridis. RNAcentral describes it as "long non-coding RNA (SVIR_LNC009014)". The record is from RNAcentral. Lineage: Eukaryota; Viridiplantae; Streptophyta; Magnoliopsida; Poales; Poaceae.
GCGUACAGAUCAAGAUGAAUGAUCGGCAUCAAGAGCUAUAGUUAAACAUAGAAAUGUUUAAAUAUGUGAAGAGAUAACUUGUACCAAAAGGUAGUAGAUUUCCUUAUAACCAACUAGAAUUAGAUUGAAUGGGAUCUGUAACCUUGCCCCACCCCCCCGGACUAUAUAAGGGCGGAACGGACCCCCCUCAAAAACCUAAGUCAUAUUCGAUAUGCUAUGUGCUGAGAAUACAACCCCGAGCAUAGGACACAUGGUAUUACAUCAAUUUGGUGGCCCAAACCUGGUAAAGUUUCCUGUGUCCUUGUGUUCAUCCAUCUAGCUCUAGGUACCACGAUCCCCUCUACACAAUCUACCACCUUGGUCUACCCCAUGGUGGAUUGCCGGACUAUUCCCCCGACACAACCAUACAUGCUGCAAAAAUAGGGGCCAUCAUCAUUAUAUGCAGAACAAUAAUCCUGAGAGAUUAGAUGAGUGCAUCAGAUUAAUGGCUUCACCCGCAAGGUUACAUAGCUGGACGAGAAGAGUAGAUACAAUCUACCCUACUAAUUGACCAGUUAGUUCUUUGCUAGACCCACUCAGCAAACUCCCCCACCUGAGAUGACCUUUCCUCCACCUACCCGUUUUUAUGCACCCAUUAAUCCAACUCUAUCAAAAUAGACUGUACAGAUCUCUCCUCAAAUCCUAUUCUCACUGAUCACUCAGAUCCAAUGGCUCAUGUUCUUUGGUUAGUCCACCCCUCCCUCAUCCCUUCCCACGCCGCAGUCACGCCCACCUGCCCUCUCUUGAUUCCAACCCUUCUCCUCACCCCGGCCGUGUCUGUCCCUCUCCUCCUCCCCUUCGUCUCCUCCAUCCUCCCCGUCCACUCGCCUCUCCCCUUCUCUCCCUCCCCUCAUUCUCCUCCCCCCUCCGCUCACCCCACACCUCGUGCAUGUGGUGAGGAGUGGUGGUGGGGUGAGGCAUGGCGGUAGCCCGUCGAGGAGUAGCCAGGGGGGGUGUGGGAUUCCGCGUCGGGGAUGGCAGCCGCAGAUUCGGUGGAUGGCAGCGCCCCGCUCUCUGUCGCUGCUUGCCUCUCAGGUUCGGCGGGCGCGGGAUCUGGCAGCAAGGAUGUUGACAGCAAUUAGCAUGCUAAAUUGUGAACCGCAAGUGCAUGGAUCAGUUGUAGCUUUUUCCUUAGAGAUUCCCCUAAGGUUUAUCAAUCCAUGAAAUAAGGAAUUUGCAUGCUUAACUAACCACUAAUGAAUGUAACCAAAAGCUCUUUGUAUAGGAUAUGAUUAUGCUAAUAAAAGAGCUAAGUAGCCGAUAUCUAGCAAAUAAAGAAUAGAGGGUGUGAACAAGAUAGAUUAAACGCUUGUCCUAGGGAUCUAGAAUCACUUGUAGAUGCAACCACCAUGCAUGAAAGUAUUGUCUAAGUGUUAUCAUGAGUGGAUGUGAACCAUACCCAACACUUUCC